AGCUCUCUGCCUGGGAAAGAAAAAGAGCCCAUUUCCAUGGGACGUGCCCUCAUGGGGAGGCACAGCAGACCACCCAAGGCAGCACAUGCAGUGUCCCCGAACUGCCAGAGCACGGAGGCAGAGACGUGGGAGCCGAUGAAGGUCGCACGCCAGCCUCCCACCUGUGAGACAAAGGGCCCUGUCACUGGAAGCCACGUCCAGCCUGGCCCCGCAGGAGCCAGGGCUCUGCGCCUAACGGAGGACUGAUGGGAAAGGGAAGGCUGGCAGCAGUGAGGGGCCAAUCAUCUGAAUCACGUUCCUGUAUUCAGGAUUUGCCCCUCCAAAACAGUUUUGAUGGGAGACACCAGCCACCUACUAUUAUGCAGCCAUGCACCACAUAACGACGUUUCAGGCAACAAUGACUGCACAUACCACAGUGGUCCCGUAAAAUUACAAUGGAGCUGAAAAAUUCCUAUUGCCUAGUGACGUCACAGCCAUUGUAAGGUCAGAGUGCAACACAUCACUCAUGUGUUUGUGUUGAUGCUGCUGUAAACAAACCUACCGCACUGCCAGUCAUAUAAAAGUAUAGCCCAUACAAUUAUGUGUAGUACUUAAUACUUAAUAAUAAUAAAC
Molecule: long non-coding RNA, 612 nt
Filed under: Homo sapiens (human)
Lineage: Eukaryota; Metazoa; Chordata; Mammalia; Primates; Hominidae
Description: HSALNT0309425
Source: RNAcentral